CCGUGGGUCACCGCUCCCUGCAUGGCCGUUUGUUAUAUUCAUAGCGAGGGAAGGAGGAACACCGGGAAGAGCACACCAGGGGAGCUGCGUGUGAGGCUACAGGGGCUGAGCUGUGACCCUGCAGUGCCAGAGGAGAUCCAUCAUGGAGCCGGUAUGGACAUGAGUUGAAGGAGCCCGUGGCUUCAUCCACUGGUCUCGCUGGGAAAGACUUCGAAGAAGAUUUUGUUCAGUAUUCCUGGACACGAAGAGUGAUGACAUGACAAGUAGACACUGGUUGGUGCCACUGCACACUUACCCACACCCAGAGUGCUUGCACGCUGGCCUGAAGUUUCCUGUAAUGUCAGCAUCACCAUUGUCACCUGGGACCAAUCCUGUUCCAAAAUCAGAGUCCCCCAAGAGGGGAGAGGGUGCCCGCUGCCACUGAAUAUCUCUUCUGUGAAAAGGCUUCAUGCAAGUUCAUUUCUUCAACACACUCAACCUGACUUUGAGGCUGACACUGCAGAGCCAAAAUAACUAGAAUGAAGUCGGACAGAAAAGCUCAGCAGCUCUGAGUUCCUCGACAAGCCACGAUUCUCCGUGAGGAACAGAGGACCUGGGCUAGGCACCCCAACUGAAUCUUUUAUGGCCAUACCCAAGCCUGGACACACAGCGACACAAAAUCUUUCAUUUCCUAUGUAGAAUUCACAUGUGAAACACAAAAUAUGUUUAAUAAGCCUGGGUCCUGGGAGCCAGCAUUGGGUACAGGAGGGGCUUCCCUGUGGGCUAUGGAACUAAAAAAAAAAGGAAGUUGAAAGAGGGACAAGGGUGGUGGUUGUUUUGAGAUGUGGGUGGAGAGAAAGACCCCUGCACAAAGGUAAAAUGAUUUGUCCAAAAGACAACAGUAAGCCAGGGAAUUUCAAAUCACCUAGACGCUCCAGGGCAACUGACACAGCAAUACCCAGUGCAGGGGGUUAAAUAGUGCUCCCCAAAAGUCAUGUUCGCCUGGGACCAAAGAAGCAUGGAACCGUAUUUGAAAACAGGGUCUUUGCAUAGGUAGUUUGUUAAGGAUCCAGAUGAGCUCGUACUGGAUUAGCAUUGGCUCUCAAUCCAGUGACUGGUACCCUUGAAGAAGAGACGACACAGAGAGACACACAUAAGAGAAGGUCAUAUGAAGAUGGAGCAGAGCCUGGCACGGUGCAGCUACAAGCCAAGGGACGCCAAGGAUGGCUGACAGCAAGCAGAGGCUGGAGGAGGCGAGGAAGCAACUUCCCUGGGGCCUUCAGCGGGAGCGUGGCCCUGCUGACACCGUGAUUUUGGACUUCUGGCCUCCUGCAAUAAAAGAAUACAUUCCCAUUGUCUUCAGCCACUAGCUUUGUGGGAAUUUAGAGAGAGAGCUUUUCUCAGAAGCCUCAAGGAAACCUGAGAGUCAGAAGCUGUUCGAACACUGAGCCAGUUCAGACAUUAUAAUGGUUAGAAAGAAGGCUGAAGGAAGAUCAAAACAUUUAAAUAAAGAUGGGCUUGAUUGGAGCAGAGUGGCAUACCCUCUGACAUGUCACUGGAGGAAGCUCUCAGACUCUCAUAGGCUCUAAGCAAAGUUAGACCACCAGAGGGUUUCACUGUGACUUAAUAUGCUAUCUUUCUCAUUAAGAAAAGAAUCCUACCCAGAAAACGAGGAAAGGCCUAACAGGAGUCAUAGCUUGACUACAAUGGCAGGAAGUGGAUAUACUUGAGGGAUUACUGGUAACUCUUUAUUUUGACAAAGUUGAAGCCAUAAAGCUCCUUGACCCCCUAAACAUUUUAGAAUUUCCUGAACAUAGCGCAAUGGCCAAAACUGGAAAAUUUAACAUUAAUACAAUGCUUAUCUAACCCAUUGUCUAUGUUCAAAUUUUGUCAGUUUUCCCCAUAAUAUCAUCUCUAACUAUUUUUUCCCCUCUGGCCAGGACCACGCAUUGCAUCCAGUUGUCAUGUCCCCUGAGACUCCUUUAAUCUCAAACAAUUCCUCAGCCUCGCUUAGCCUUUCAUGACCUUUAUAGUUUUGAAGAAUAGGGGCCAGUAAUUUUGUAGAAUGUCCCUCAAUUCAGGUUCGUCUAAUAUUUCUUCGUUAUGAAGUUUAAGUUAUUCAUUUUGGGCAGAAAAACCACAGAAAUAACAUUCUGUGCUUUUCUGGGUAUCAUAGCAUGAGACACAUGAUGUCGACCGGCCCCAAUAUUACUUGUUAUACUUCAUCGCUUGAUUGAGAGGACAUGCACUAAUGUCCCCUUGUUACGUUACUCUGUUUCUCUGCUUAGACAUGGAGAAGAAAUUUCUCAACGUGAGUAGAAACAUAAACUUCACAUAGCAGCUUUGCAGCCUCUACAGGAAGAUGGCCGAAGGCAUAGGGGAGGAAUUGGAGAGAAACGCUUCCUACUACGGAGAGGAGAUUGCCUUCUGAGGAGAGCUGUGCAGCAGCUGUGACAACUGGUGUGUUUUCUCAUAAGGACGAUGCUGUCGGUGAAAUGAGACGAACUAUAUCAAAUCCUGGGUACACUGGUGUGCUCACUCAGUGCAGCAGAAUCACGGCAUGACACCAGGGUUUGACAUGUUACCCGUAAGCUGGAUGACAGACCUUCAUUCACUACUUAAGUUCAGGGACACCCCUCCUUGAAACAUGCCCCAUUAGCAAGCCUCUACAUUCGGCAGGAUCCCAGUCUCGGCUAUUAGAGCCUGAAGUUUUCUUCGUCAAAUUCCUGCCUCCUGGGGAUGGAGGCAAAUAACCCUGAGACAUGCAGUUUCCACCCUUCCGCUGUUCUUUCCCCUGGAAGGGCAGCCCAUCAGUCCUGCGGAGUCGCCCUUUUUUUUUUUCU
Hipposideros armiger (great roundleaf bat) is the source of this 2822-nucleotide long non-coding RNA. RefSeq lists it as uncharacterized. Lineage: Eukaryota; Metazoa; Chordata; Mammalia; Chiroptera; Hipposideridae. The record is from RefSeq and is a predicted model, not a curated record. The transcript is spliced from 4 exons.